GACGAACGCUGGCGGCGUGCUUAACACAUGCAAGUCGAACGGAAAGGCCCUGCUUUCGUGGGGUGCUCGAGUGGCGAAGGGGUGUGUAACAUGUGAGUAACCUGCCCUUGAUUUUGGGAUAUCUUGAGGAAAGUGGGGAUAAUACCGGAUAGGAGCUCCUGAUGGUGGGUGGGGGUUGGACAGUUUCGGCGGGUGGGGAUGGACUCGGGGUUUAUUAGCUUGUUGGUGGGGUAGUGGCUAACCCAGGGAUUGGUGGGUAGCCGGCCUGGGUGGUGGACCGGCGACAUUGGAACUAGGGUAGGGCCCAGACGCCUACGGUGGGCAGCGGUGGGGAGUAUGGCACAGUGGGGGGAAGCCUGUGGCGGCAACCCCGGGUGCGGAAUGACGGCCUUGGGGUGGUAAACCGCUUUCACCUGUGACGAAGCGUUUGUGACGGUAAUAAGAAAAGAAGCACCGGCUAACUACGUG
RNAcentral lists this ribosomal RNA (468 nucleotides) under uncultured bacterium. Its description in RNAcentral is "partial 16S ribosomal RNA". It matches the Rfam family "Bacterial small subunit ribosomal RNA", at positions 28 to 507 of the family's 1533-position model. The record is from RNAcentral.